GCCUGGGUGGCUCAGUUGGUUGAGCGUCCGACUUCGGCUCAGGUCAUCAUCUGGCAGUGUGUGAGUUCGAGCCCCACGUCGGGCU
This 85-nucleotide transfer RNA is filed under the name Felis catus (domestic cat). It matches the Rfam family "tRNA". Rfam says of the family: Transfer RNA (tRNA) molecules are approximately 80 nucleotides in length. Their secondary structure includes four short double-helical elements and three loops (D, anti-codon, and T loops). Further hydrogen bonds mediate the characteristic L-shaped molecular structure. tRNAs have two regions of fundamental functional importance: the anti-codon, which is responsible for specific mRNA codon recognition, and the 3' end, to which the tRNAs corresponding amino acid is attached (by aminoacyl-tRNA synthetases). tRNAs cope with the degeneracy of the genetic code in two manners: having more than one tRNA (with a specific anti-codon) for a particular amino acid; and 'wobble' base-pairing, i.e. permitting non-standard base-pairing at the 3rd anti-codon position. The record is from Rfam by way of RNAcentral. Lineage: Eukaryota; Metazoa; Chordata; Mammalia; Carnivora; Felidae.